Molecule: ribosomal RNA, 568 nt
Filed under: Ralstonia sp. KSA5
Lineage: Bacteria; Pseudomonadati; Pseudomonadota; Betaproteobacteria; Burkholderiales; Burkholderiaceae
Description: bacterial SSU rRNA
Rfam family: Bacterial small subunit ribosomal RNA
Source: RNAcentral
CCUGCGGGUGGGUGUGGGGGACCGCGCGGGCUCUUGCUGUUCGCGCGGCCGAUGUCUGAUUAGCUAGUUGGUGAGGUAAAGGAUCACCAGGGCGACCAUCGGUACCUGGUCUGAGAGAACGAUCAGCCACACUGGGACUGAUACAAGGGCCACACUCCUACGAGACGUAGUAGAGGGGAAUUUAGAAAAACGUCCGAAAGGCUGAACCAGCUGAGCCACGAGCGUGACGAAAGCCUUCAGGUUGUAUAGCACUUUUGACUGUAGAGAAAUGGAUCAGGAAAAAACCUGCGGACAAUGACGGAACUGGAAGAAUAAUGACCGGAUAACUACGUGCCACUACCCGCGGUAAUACGUAGGGAUCAAGCGGUGGUCAGAAUUACUGGGCGUAAAGGGUGCGCAAGCGGGUGUGCAAGACCGAUGAGAAAUCACCGAGAUUACCUUGGGAAUUGCAUUGAUGACUGUUCGGCUAUAGAGGAUUAGAGGGGGGAAGAAUUCAACGUGUAUCCAUGAAAUGCGUAGAGAUGUGGAGAAAUACCGAUGAACAACGCAGCCCCAUGGGAUAAUACUG